GACGAACGCUGGCGGCGUGCCUAAUACAUGCAAGUGGGACGCAAGGGAACACACUGUGCUUGCACACCGUGUUUUCUUGAGUCGCGAACGGGUGAGUAACGCGUAGGUAACCUGCCUAUUAGCGGGGGAUAACUAUUGGAAACGAUAGCUAAUACCGCAUAAUAUUAAUUAUUGCAUGAUAAUUGAUUGAAAGAUGCAAGCGCAUCACUAGUAGAUGGACCUGCGUUGUAUUAGCUAGUUGGUAAGGUAAGAGCUUACCAAGGCGACGAUACAUAGCCGACCUGAGAGGGUGAUCGGCCACACUGGGACUGAGACACGGCCCAGACUCCUACGGGAGGCAGCAGUAGGGAAUCUUCGGCAAUGGACGAAAGUCUGACCGAGCAACGCCGCGUGAGUGAAGAAGGUUUUCGGAUCGUAAAGCUCUGUUGUAAGUCAAGAACGUGUGUGAGAGUGGAUAGUUCACACAG
Molecule: ribosomal RNA, 467 nt
Filed under: Streptococcus mutans
Lineage: Bacteria; Bacillati; Bacillota; Bacilli; Lactobacillales; Streptococcaceae
Description: bacterial SSU rRNA
Rfam family: Bacterial small subunit ribosomal RNA
Source: RNAcentral